This 222-nucleotide long non-coding RNA is filed under the name Elaeis guineensis (African oil palm). RNAcentral describes it as "long non-coding RNA (EGUI_LNC080776)". Lineage: Eukaryota; Viridiplantae; Streptophyta; Magnoliopsida; Arecales; Arecaceae. The record is from RNAcentral.
GGAUUAUUUUAUCUCUGGAUUUAGAUGCUCUGAACCAAUUUUGGUUUAAUUAAAUAAUUGAAUUGAACUUUAUUAUUACAUUUAUUUGAGAUACACCUGUUAUUAUAUUUAAGAAGAUGAAUUUUGGCUUCGUGUUAUCGUGGGUCCAUCCCUCGGUAGCAUGGCCGUGUUAUGUCUCGGGUUUGGGGCGUGACACAACCUCUGUCUCUGGCCCUCCCAUGC